AUCACUUGGCAUAAACGAAAGAUAAGAGGUAGGUAUUCGGAUGAUAAAACAUUUUCCACACGCUUACACGCUCAGCAGAACACAAUGGCACGGUGAAUCGGUAACGUCCGUACAGUAGUCGUGAGGAAGUAUAUAAGUCUCGUAAAUCGCGGGGAUCAUAUUAUUAUUUUAUUACUCGGCCGCUUCGUUCGGAUCGAGUUGGCGAGACCAUCGAUUUCCCAAACACCGGUAAACGGUAGUCGACACAAUUAGUCUCGAUAGUCCGACAUUCGGAUUCGAUCGACCAUUAGUGUUUUAUGAUAUUACCCAUCGUAAGCCGUACAUCAUAAGCGAUUUAAUGGCAUUAUAUGGUUACGCUCGCCCAAAACGAAGUGCAAAGUGCAACUUUUUACAAUGGUAGUCUGUCAAAUACAGACCGAUACCGUCCGUCCCUAUACCUACAGGGUAGUGUAAAACUCGCUGUUGUGUACAUAAAUAUUAACUUGUCACGGCGCGGUUUUUUCUCCAUGAAAUUCAAAAGCGUAAAAAUAUCGUUGCAUUUUUAAUUUUAAAUACCUACCUGGGUACCUAUUUUAUAUUUUUAUGCCCAUCGCGAUUGAAUAUUUGAAUAUAUUUUUAUUUUUUUCACAUCGCGAUACCACACCAAAUCGGUGUUCGGUAAUGAGACUAAAAAUGGUAAAUCGUUAUAUUUGCAACUCGUGAUUACGACUCGCCUUUGUAUAAUAAUAACUAUGUAGAACAAUUAAUUAACCGUACCGUCUGUGAUAUAAAAUGUCCGCGUAGUCGUGUAGAUAAUAUGCGUGUGAAUUAUUAUAAUUUAUAGAUAUAAUCUUUGUAUUCCGUAUAAUGUGUAUCCUACUCAGUACUCAAGAUAUUGAUAUGUGUAUUUUGUAAUAAAAUUGAACACCAGCUAUCCGAGCUUCGUUGACAUUAAUUGCACUUUCAAGCGAUAACAUUAUUUGAUCGAGAUAAAAAAUUUACUAAACUAUUAUAAAUCAAUGUAUUAAUUAUUUAUUAUUGAAUCAUGACUUCAAUGCAAAUGAUAUGCUUGGCGAGCGGAAUGACGGUGGGCCUAAGCUUUCUAUACUCUGUUAUACAAAAAGUUUGGAUUAUCCGUGGAUCGAUUUGAUGCAAGUCAUAAUGUUAUGAGUUGUCAGCUACUCUUGAAAUUUAUGGUCAUACGUAUUUUGGAAAUCAUAUUUCCAAAACUCAAGCCAAACAGAAGGCAUGUGAAAGUUUCUUGCACAAUAUGUUGGCAAUGGCAAAUAAAAUGAAUGAGCGAUCUGAUAAUUUAAAAGUGUUGAAUUGUUUAACUUUUAAUAUUAAAAAAAUAAAGAAUUUCCCAAGAUGGAAGUUGGAGAAAAUUAUACAAAAUCAAAACCUAAAGGAUCCCCUUAGGAGGAUUUCUCAUAAUCACAUUUUGCUUCAUUAGCUAUUGACAAUUUAAUAAAUCAAUGGGCAGUAAGGCCUGUUAUUAAUAGAGCUAAUUAUGUACAAAAAGAAUCAACUGUCAUCAAACUACAACCUAAGACUGAUGCGAUAAUCCAAAACAACGAAAAUCUUAUACAUAAUGUGCGAAUGUGUCGUCUAGUAUCUACCAAAAGCCCAAUAAUGGUUUUUAAUGAGUUGUUCAAGGAUGUACCAAUUCACUUAAAGGCUGUAUAACUCAUAAGUCAUAACCUUAUGACUUGCAUCGACUUGAUGCUGCUAGAAGUUAAAGCUACAGCUACUCUUGAAAUAAAUUAUUAUUUUAUUUUAUGCUGUUUGAAAUAAUAUUCUUAAUAAUAAUUAUUCUUAAAAAAAAUAUGUAAAUUUUGUAAAAUAUUGUUCGUAUAUAUUAUACCAAAUAUAUACGUGUAUGUAUAAUUAAUUUAAUAUAAUAUAUUUAAUAUUUAAUAUACAUUAAAUUAGAAAAAAAUAAAGACUCUCCCGAGAUGGAAGUUGGAGAAAAUGAUAUAAAAUCAAAAUCUAAUGGACCCCCUCAGGAAGA
Molecule: long non-coding RNA, 1990 nt
Organism: Aphis gossypii (cotton aphid)
Lineage: Eukaryota; Metazoa; Arthropoda; Insecta; Hemiptera; Aphididae
Exons: 7
Source: RefSeq, a predicted model, not a curated record